UUUUUCUUUUAAUUCUCUUCAUCUUUUGUACUCUCCUUUAUUAUAGUGAAAUUUCAUUUCGCCUGUGGAGUUUUAUCCUCUUUUGAGGAGUUUUUCCAUGUAAAAUUUUCAUGUUCGAUUUUUUUUAUUCUUAUUUUUUUUACUUUGUUCGUUGUUUAACCGCAUUUAUCCCCUUCAGAAAGUAUAUUAUAAAUUGUAAUCCAUAGAUAGUGAUAUAAUUUGUGUUAUGAGAAAUUAUGAUUAAAGCUAUAUGUUAAUGAUAUAUGAGCUUUAAGAACUAAAUUGAAUAAAAAUUCAAGAAUGAAGAUAUAGAUGAUCAAGUUAUC
RNAcentral lists this long non-coding RNA (326 nucleotides) under Gossypium raimondii (Peruvian cotton). RNAcentral's name for it is "long non-coding RNA (GRAI_LNC008604)". Lineage: Eukaryota; Viridiplantae; Streptophyta; Magnoliopsida; Malvales; Malvaceae. The record is from RNAcentral.